AAAAGCACAUCUUUUGACUCAUGGAGCUUAUAUUCUAGUGAAAGAGAAAGGCUUUUUAUAGAUUAUGCAAGUAACUGUGCUGACUGCAACAGAGACACGGGUUGCCAGGCUGGGGGUGUAGCUCGGCAGUGGAGUGCUUGCCUAACAUCUGCAAAGUCUUGGGUUCUGAAAAUAUGGGGUGCAUGGUAUCUGUGGUUCUCAGAUGACUCUCUGAGGAAGUAACAUUUGAGCUAAGAGUCUAAACUUUGUUUUCAGAAGAAUCAGUUAAGCCCGUGGGUCUGAAACUCCAGCAUCAGCUAUAGGGUGGCACACUUCUGUCCCAAGAGGAUUUCUCUCAAGCUCCAAGCUGCCCUGAUGCUGUGGGACCAGGGAGGCCUGAGCCGGAGAAAUGGGAAGAAGGAUGCACAAAGAGCAUCUUCCAGGUCUCACACAGAACGAAGGGGACAGUGCACUGUUUCCUAGUGUCGAGUGGUCAUUGACCCUUCCUGCUCCUGUCUGCCUGAGAGGAGCCUUGUCCCUGCAGAUACAUGUCCCGAUGGAGGAGGCUCCUUUCUGCCUGACACAUGAUCUCAGCUGACAGUGACUUUGCUUCCCUGGGGACCGCUGACAUUGUCUGGAGGCGUUUUUGGUUGUAUAUUGUGAUGGGGUCGGGGGGGGGGGAGGAGACUGCUACUGACAUCGGGUAAGCUGAGGCAGGAAUACCACUCAUCAUGCUACACUGUACAGAAUAGUCCCCUCAAUAAAGAAUCACCCAGAGAGGCUGUGGGUCUCUGUCCCAGAUACAUGCUGUCCAGGACGGUGACUGCCAGCAUAGGUGAUGGCAGGGCCUUUGCAGAGUGACCAGCCACCCCACUCCAGAUGAACUUUGAGUUUAACAAAGUCUCACAGGGGAAAGAAUGUCAGCUUUCUCAUGAAUCAUCUUUACGUUAUCAUGUAUUCCAAUGAUGGCAUUUUGGAUAUGUUGAGCUUAACAAAAUAUAGCAUGAGUAUUAAUUACA
Long non-coding RNA from Peromyscus californicus insignis, 998 nucleotides. RefSeq lists it as uncharacterized. The transcript is spliced from 2 exons. The record is from RefSeq and is a predicted model, not a curated record. Lineage: Eukaryota; Metazoa; Chordata; Mammalia; Rodentia; Cricetidae.